GGCUGUAAGGGGGGUCUGGCUGAGACGUCUGUCUGUCUCCCCCACUGGUUGCCAGGGUGAUCUGGCUGAUCAGGCUGGCUAGGCAGGUGUCCUCUUACUCCUUCACAGCCUCAUUCAUGACCCUUCCCAAGCUGUAGGCUCCCUCCUACCCCAUAGCUAGCACCAGCACUGUUUUAGUCCCCUGCUCAAAGAUGUGGGCUUGAGAUAUAGCUCAGUGGUAAAGCACUUGCCUGGCUUGUACCUAAGGGCCUAGGUUUAAUCACCACCAUCACCACCACCAAAAAAAAUUGUGAUUCUGU
Cricetulus griseus (Chinese hamster) is the source of this 299-nucleotide unclassified non-coding RNA. Its record names the gene 7SK. It matches the Rfam family "7SK RNA". Rfam says of the family: 7SK was discovered as an abundant small nuclear RNA in the mid-70s but a possible function has only recently been suggested. Two independent studies have found that 7SK RNA binds the CDK9/cyclin T complex (known as elongation factor P-TEFb). P-TEFb activates transcription by phosphorylating the C-terminal domain of RNA polymerase II. The record is from Ensembl. NCBI's taxonomy places the organism in Eukaryota, Metazoa, Chordata, Mammalia, Rodentia, Cricetidae.